Molecule: ribosomal RNA, 428 nt
Filed under: Acidobacteriota bacterium
Lineage: Bacteria; Pseudomonadati; Acidobacteriota
Description: Acidobacteria bacterium partial 16S ribosomal RNA
Rfam family: Bacterial small subunit ribosomal RNA
Source: RNAcentral
UGGGGAAUUUUGGACAAUGGGGGAAACCCUGAUCCAGCCAUCCCGCGUGUGCGAUGAAGGCCUUCGGGUUGUAAAGCACUUUUGGCAGGAAAGAAACGUCAUGGGUUAAUACCCCGUGAAACUGACGGUACCUGCAGAAUAAGCACCGGCUAACUACGUGCCAGCAGCCGCGGUAAUACGUAGGGUGCAAGCGUUAAUCGGAUUACUGGGCGUAAAGCGUGCGCAGGCGGUUCGGAAAGAAAGAUGUGAAAUCCCAGAGCUCAACUUUGGAACUGCAUUUUUAACUACCGGGCUAGAGUGUGUCAGAGGGAGGUGUAAUUCCGCGUGUAGCAGUGAAAUGCGUAGAUAUGCGGAGGAACACCGAUGGCGAAGGCAGCCUCCUGGGAUAACACUGACGCUCAUGCACGAAAGCGUGGGGAGCAAACAGG